Molecule: ribosomal RNA, 491 nt
Filed under: uncultured bacterium
Lineage: Bacteria
Description: partial 16S ribosomal RNA
Rfam family: Bacterial small subunit ribosomal RNA
Source: RNAcentral
GUGAACGCUGGCGGUAGGCCUAACACAUGCAAGUCGAACGGCAGCACAGUAAGAGCUUGCUCUUACGGGUGGCGAGUGGCGGACGGGUGAGGAAUACAUCGGAAUCUACUUUUUCGUGGGGGAUAACGUAGGGAAACUUACGCUAAUACCGCAUACGACCUACGGGUGAAAGCAGGGGAUCUUCGGACCUUGCGCGAUUGAAUGAGCCGAUGUCGGAUUAGCUAGUUGGCGGGGUAAAGGCCCACCAAGGCGACGAUCCGUAGCUGGUCUGAGAGGAUGAUCAGCCACACUGGAGCUGAGACGCGGUCCAGACUCCUACGGGAGGCAGCAGUGGGGAAUAUUGGACCAUGGGCGCAAGCCUGAUCCAGCCAUACCGCGUGGGUGAAGAAGGCCUUCGGGUUGUAAAGCCCUUUUGUUGGGAAAGAAAAGCAGCAGGUUAAUACCCCGCUGUUCUGACGGUACCCAAAGAAUAAGCACCGGCUAACUUCGUG